GUGUCAGCAGCCGCGGUAAGACGAACCGUGCGAACGUUAUUCGGAAUCAUUGGGCUUAAAGGGCGCGUAGGCGGCGGCGUAAGUUGGAAGUGAAAUCCCAUCGGCUCAACCGUGGAAUAGCUUUCAGUACUGCGUCGCUCGAGUGAGAUAGGGGUCCGUGGAACUACCGGUGGAGCGGUGAAAUGUGUUGAUAUCGGUGGGAACGCCAGUGGCGAAAGCGACGGACUGGACCUUUACUGACGCUGAGGCGCGAAAGCUAGGGGAGCAAACGGGAUUAGAUACCCCUGUAGUCC
RNAcentral lists this ribosomal RNA (293 nucleotides) under uncultured bacterium. RNAcentral describes it as "partial 16S ribosomal RNA". It matches the Rfam family "Bacterial small subunit ribosomal RNA", at positions 505 to 796 of the family's 1533-position model. The record is from RNAcentral.